Molecule: ribosomal RNA, 535 nt
Filed under: uncultured organism
Description: bacterial SSU rRNA
Rfam family: Bacterial small subunit ribosomal RNA
Source: RNAcentral
CCACCUGGGGAGUACGGCAGCAAGGCUGAAACUCAAAGGAAUUGACGUGGGCCUGCACAAGCAGUGGAGUAUGUGGUUUAAUUCGAAGCUACGCGAAGAACAUUACCAGGGCUUGACAUCCAUCGGAUAACAUAGAGAUAUGUUAGUCAUUCGGGACGAGGAGACAGGUGGUGCAUGGUUGUCGUCAGCUCGUGUCGUGAGAUGUUGGGUUAAGUCCAGCAACGAGCGCAACCCAUAUUGUUAGUUGCCAUCAUUAAGUUGGGCACUCUAACGAGACUGCCGGUGACAAAUCGGACCAAGGUGCGCACGACGUCAAAUCAUCAUGCACAUUAUGUCAUGGGCUACACACGUACUACAAUGGUCACUACAAAGGGAAGCAAUACCGCAAGGAGGAGCAAAUCCCCAAAGGUGACCUCAGUUCGGAUUGUGGGCUGAACCCGCCCACAUGAAGUCGGAAUUGCUAGUAAUGGCAGUCACACUCCUCCAGUGAUACGUUCCCGGGCAUGUACACACCGCCAGUCACACCAUGAGAGUU